CAGAAAAUAGUUUAAUAGAAAAUGUUAAUUUUGGAGAUUAAAGAUAAGUGAUACUUUUUUCUGA
Molecule: transfer RNA, 64 nt
Filed under: Basilepta melanopus
Lineage: Eukaryota; Metazoa; Arthropoda; Insecta; Coleoptera; Chrysomelidae
Description: tRNA-Pro
Source: RNAcentral